RNAcentral lists this long non-coding RNA (284 nucleotides) under Carica papaya (papaya). Its description in RNAcentral is "long non-coding RNA (CPAP_LNC004436)". Lineage: Eukaryota; Viridiplantae; Streptophyta; Magnoliopsida; Brassicales; Caricaceae. The record is from RNAcentral.
UCAAUCUCCAAAUUGCAAAAAUGACCAUUAGCUAGUAAUUUGCAGGUUUGAGUUUCAGGGAACCAUACCUCACAAUAACAAUCUCGACUAGUAUUCAAACAUAAAAUGAGAGAAAUUGUAAGUUUUUCCAUACCAAAAUUGGGAAUAAUAAAAAAAUUUAGUAGAACAACCAUUAAACUAGUACAAAAUUAAGGAUUGCAUGCGAUUAGUUCAUGUUAAAACAAAAAUUGUCACUAACCUUUUGAUGCGAAGGUAAACAUUUGUGAUGAAUGCACCUGGUUACU